RNAcentral lists this unclassified non-coding RNA (253 nucleotides) under uncultured Planctomycetota bacterium. RNAcentral describes it as "uncultured planctomycete contains 16S-23S intergenic spacer region". It matches the Rfam family "Bacterial small subunit ribosomal RNA", at positions 524 to 776 of the family's 1533-position model. The record is from RNAcentral. Lineage: Bacteria; Pseudomonadati; Planctomycetota.
UACGGAGAGUGCGAACGUUGUUCGGAUUUACUGGGCGUAAAGGGCCCGUAGGCGGCCCGGCAAAUCGGUCGUGGAAUCCCGGCGCUUACCGUCGGAAUGGCGGCCGAAAAUACCGGGCUCGAGGGCGUGAGGGGUCGCUGGAACUCUUGGUGAAGCGGUGAAAUGCGUAGAUAUCAAGAGGAACGCCGGAGGCGAAAGCGAGCGACUGGCGCGUACCUGACGCUGAGGGGCGAAAGCUAGGGGAGCAAACAGG